Phrynosoma platyrhinos (Desert horned lizard) is the source of this 72-nucleotide non-coding RNA. NCBI's taxonomy places the organism in Eukaryota, Metazoa, Chordata, Lepidosauria, Squamata, Phrynosomatidae. The record is from the annotation of a GenBank genome assembly.
GCCAGCAUGGCCUAGUGGUAAGAGUGCUAGACUAUGAUUUUGGAGACCAGGGUUCAGUUCUCAAUUCGGCCA